Molecule: long non-coding RNA, 249 nt
Organism: Diceros bicornis minor
Lineage: Eukaryota; Metazoa; Chordata; Mammalia; Perissodactyla; Rhinocerotidae
Exons: 3
Source: RefSeq, a predicted model, not a curated record
CCUGAGAGAGCUGGAAGCUAAAAAUCUGGAAAAACAAGAGGAACUAAGAAUUGCUCACAUGCAUCUGAAAGAGCACCAGGAAAUUAUUGAUCAACUCAGAGGGAUUGUUUCUGAGAAGACAGAUGAAAUAUCAAAUAUGCAGAUGGAUUUAGAAAAUUCAAAUGCUAAAUUACAAGAAAAGAUCCAAGAACUUAAGACAAAUGAACAUCAACUUUUUAAGUUAAAAGAAGAUGUCAGUGAGACACAGAA